GGUGUCUUGGCCGAGUGGUCUAAGGCGGUACGUUCAGGUCGUAUUCUUAGUUGGCGUGGGUUCAAAUCCCACAGACACCA
Molecule: non-coding RNA, 80 nt
Organism: Fragilaria crotonensis
Lineage: Eukaryota; Bacillariophyta; Fragilariophyceae; Fragilariales; Fragilariaceae
Source: the annotation of a GenBank genome assembly